RNAcentral lists this ribosomal RNA (377 nucleotides) under uncultured bacterium. RNAcentral's name for it is "bacterial SSU rRNA". It matches the Rfam family "Bacterial small subunit ribosomal RNA", at positions 9 to 376 of the family's 1533-position model. The record is from RNAcentral.
GAGUUUGAUCGUGGCUCAGGAUGAACGCUAGCUACAGGCUUAACACAUGCAAGUCGAGGGGCAUCAGUUUGGUUUGCUUGCAAACCAAAGCUGGCGACCGGCGCACGGGUGAGUAACACGUAUCCAACCUGCCCUUUACUCGGGGAUAGCCUUUCGAAAGAAAGAUUAAUACCCGAUGGCAUAAUGAUUCCGCAUGGUUUCAUUAUUAAAGGAUUCCGGUAAAGGAUGGGGAUGCGUUCCAUUAGGUUGUUGGUGAGGUAACGGCCCACCAAGCCUUCGAUGGAUAGGGGGUUCUGAGAGGAAGGUCCCCCCAAUUGGAACUGAGACACGGUCCAAACUCCUACGGGAGCAGCAGUGAGGAAUAUUGGUCAAUGGGC